This 1480-nucleotide small RNA is filed under the name Pan troglodytes (chimpanzee). RNAcentral's name for it is "processed transcript". Lineage: Eukaryota; Metazoa; Chordata; Mammalia; Primates; Hominidae. The record is from RNAcentral.
GCCGUCCAGGUUACAGAAGAGAACCUUCUCUAUCAACAAAACUAACUUGCCUUCAGAAUUUAAAAUGGUCCACAGCAGUCGAAUUUUGUAAAAAGAAAUCAUGCCCUAAUCCGGGAGAAAUACGAAAUGGUCAGAUUGAUGUACCAGAUGGCAUAUUAUUUGGUGCAACCAUCUCCUUCUCAUGUAACACAGGGUACAAAUUAUUUGGCUCGACUUCUAGUUUUUGUCUUAUUUCAGGCAGCUCUGUCCAGUGGAGUGACCCGUUGCCAGAGUGCAGAGAAAUUCAUUGUCCAGCACCACCACAAAUUGACAAUGGAAUAAUUCAAGGGGAACGUGACCAUUAUGGAUAUAGACAGUCUGUAACGUAUGCAUGUAAUAAAGGAUUCACCAUGAUUGGAGAGCACUCUAUUUAUUGUACUGUGAAUAACGAUGAAGGAGAGUGGAGUGGCCCACCACCUGAAUGCAGAGGAAAAUCUCUAACUUCCAAGGUCCCACCAACAGUUCAGAAACCUACCACAGUAAAUGUUCCAACUACAGAAGUCUCACCAACUUCUCAGAAAACCACCACAAAAACCACCACACCAAAUGCUCAAGGUACAGAGACUCCAUCAGUUCUUCAAAAACACACCACAGAAAAUGUUUCAGCUAAAAGAACCCCACCAACUCCUCAGAAACCCACCACAGUAAAUGUCCUAGCUACAAUAGUCACACCAACACCUCAGAAACCCACCACAAUAAAUGUUCCAGCUACAGGAGUCUCAUCAACACCUCAAAGACACACCAUAGUAAAUGUUUCAGCUACAGGAACCCUACCAACUCUUCAGAAACCCACCAGAGCAAAUGAUUCAGCCACCAAAUCCCCAGCAGCAGCUCAGACAUCUUUCAUAUCAAAAACCCUAUCUACAAAGACCCCUUCUGCAGCUCAGAAUCCCAUGAUGACAAAUGCUUCUGCUACACAGGCCACACUAACAGCCCAAAGAUUCACCACAGCAAAAGUUGCAUUUACGCAGAGUCCUCCAGCAGCACGUAAGUCCACUAAUGUACAUUCCCCAGUGACUAAUGGUCUCAAGAGUACACAAAGAUUCCCUUCUGCUCAUAUUACAGCAACACGGAGUACACCUGUUUCCAGGACAACCAAGCAUUUUCAUGAAACAACCCCAAAUAAAGGAAGUGGAACCACUUCAGGUACUACCCGUCUUCUAUCUGCUCUUAUAAUGCACAUGAGAGCAACAAAGUACUCAAUGUUGUGUUUGACCAUUUAAGUGUGACUGGUGGUACCUCAGAAAUAAGACUUUCUGGUAAAUUAUAAAAGGGCACACGUGUUUCACAUUGACAGGUUUGCUUGGGAUGCUAGUAACCGUGGGCUUGCUGACUUAGCCAAAGAAGAGUUAAGAAGAAAAUACACACAAGUAUACGGACUGUUCCUAGUUUCUUAGACUUAUCUGCAUAUUGGAUAAAAUAAAUGCAAUUGUGCUCUUCA